This is a long non-coding RNA of Centrocercus urophasianus (Greater sage-grouse), 662 nucleotides long. RefSeq lists it as uncharacterized. The transcript is spliced from 3 exons. The record is from RefSeq and is a predicted model, not a curated record. Lineage: Eukaryota; Metazoa; Chordata; Aves; Galliformes; Phasianidae.
AAUCACCUCUGCCAGCUCCCUCAGCACCCGUGGAUGAAUCCCAUCGGGUCCCAUGGAUUCCUAGCUGGGGAAGUUAGCAAGUGAUGAGGGAAGAGAACUUGCAAGAUCACAAAGAAUGUGUGAGGCCAGCUGGCUGUGUGCUGAAGUUAGAAUGGGGAAACAAGUUACUGGGGUGAAAUUUCCUGGGUUUCCUAGAAAGUUGUGCAAAACAAGGUUAUCUUGAAUCAUAGAACUGCUCCUAAGGAGAAUUGAGGGUGGAAGGGGAUUUUGUUGCAAUUGGAUAAAAUUUCCAGGGGUUUGUUCAAGUCUCCUUUGUGAGGGAAGGUAAGUAGAUGAUGCUAACACCUAGGAUGCAAUGGUGUUAAGAAGGGUAGGGCUAAGGAUCUCCUAAAGCCCAUUCAACCAAGUCUUGUCCUAUACAAGAGGGUGGGGAAAAAAAAAAUCACUGUUAACUGUGGUUCCUCAGUUGUUUAUUCUCAGAGCAGAGCAUAGCCCACAAAGCCAGUUGCUGUAAGAGCUGAAAGAUGACUUCUGUGUUUCAAGUUUCUCUACAGGUAGAAGCUGUAACAGAAGCCAUAGCUGACAUAUGGGCAAAUGCAGAGCCUGGUCCCAUCCACUUGAUUUUCAUACUUUGGACUGCAUAAACAGUUAUAAGAUGCCCU